Molecule: ribosomal RNA, 401 nt
Filed under: uncultured bacterium
Lineage: Bacteria
Description: partial 16S ribosomal RNA
Rfam family: Archaeal small subunit ribosomal RNA
Source: RNAcentral
ACACCGGCAGCCCAAGUGGUGGCCAUUUUUAUUGGGCCUAAAGCGUUCGUAGCCGGCCUGAUAAGUCUCUGGUGAAAUCCCGCAGCUUAACUGUGGGAAUUGCUGGAGAUACUAUCAGGCUUGAGGUCGGGAGAGGUUAGAGGUACUCCCAGGGUAGGGGUGAAAUCCUAUAAUCCUGGGAGGACCACCUGUGGCGAAGGCGUCUAACUGGAACGAACCUGACGGUGAGUAACGAAAGCCAGGGGCGCGAGCCGGAUUAGAUACCGGGGUAGUCCUGGCCGUAAACGAUGUGGACUUGGUGUUGGGAUGGCCUCGAGCUGCCCCAGUGCCGAAGGGAAGCUGUUAAGUCCACCGCCUGGGAAGUACGGUCGCAAGACUGAAACUUAAAGGAAUUGGCGGGG